UAAGAAGGGUGCAAGCGUUAAUCGGAAUUACUGGGCGUAAAGCGCGCGUAGGUGGUUCAGUAAGUUGGAAGUGAAAUCCCCGGGCUCAACCUGGGAACUGCUUUCAAAACUGCUGAGCUAGAGUACGGUAGAGGGUGGUGGAAUUUCCUGUGUAGCGGUGAAAUGCGUAGAUAUAGGAAGGAACACCAGUGGCGAAGGCGACCACCUGGACUGAUACUGACACUGAGGUGCGAAAGCGUGGGGAGCAAACAGG
This 253-nucleotide ribosomal RNA is filed under the name uncultured bacterium. RNAcentral describes it as "partial 16S ribosomal RNA". It matches the Rfam family "Bacterial small subunit ribosomal RNA", at positions 524 to 776 of the family's 1533-position model. The record is from RNAcentral.